Non-coding RNA from Microcebus murinus (gray mouse lemur), 490 nucleotides. The record is from RefSeq and is a predicted model, not a curated record. NCBI's taxonomy places the organism in Eukaryota, Metazoa, Chordata, Mammalia, Primates, Cheirogaleidae.
CGUGUCAUGGAGAGAGGAGAAGAGCGCUGUGCACGCCAUCUCAGUGAGGCCCGCAAGGAGCGCAUGAGAGCCCUUGGAUCUAAGGGAAGGGAGGGGGCCCGCCACCAGCCUUACACUUGUGAGCAGGAUGUGUGACCCUUAAUUCUUGGAUAAACUAAAGGGCUGAAAAUUCGACUCUUGGAUCAUGCUAAUGCUGCCAUUUUCUGAACAUGGAUCCCAUGAAGGAAGAAGCAUAAAGCUCAACAUGCUCACUCAUGUGCAUGCCUGUGUUUGUCCUUUUGCAAAUGUUCAUGACUCUUCCUAUAACUUGUUAAAUAUGUAUAUUCAGACACCCCACUCAGCAUAAACUCCUUUUCCUGCUGCCUCUCACUCAAAGUACCUGUUUCUGGCUUCUGGCUGGAAUCUAUGCUUUCCAGCAUUUCAGAAUGGCCACCAUGCAGGCUGUAACCCUUUAUGAAAAAUAAAGCUCUUCUUUCCAAAUUUAUGAACC